Molecule: ribosomal RNA, 460 nt
Filed under: Selenomonas sp. oral taxon 149
Lineage: Bacteria; Bacillati; Bacillota; Negativicutes; Selenomonadales; Selenomonadaceae
Description: bacterial SSU rRNA
Rfam family: Bacterial small subunit ribosomal RNA
Source: RNAcentral
GGCGGCGUGCUUAACACAUGCAAGUCGAACGAAGCGAAUGAAAGCUUGCUUUUAUGAGCUUAGUGGCAAACGGGUGAGUAACACGUAGACAACCUGCCGACAGGAUGGGGACAACAUUCCGAAAGGAAUGCUAAUACCGAAUGAAGUCGAGGGAAGGCAUCUUCCUUCGAUGAAAGAUGGCCUCUAUUUAUAAGCUAUCACCUGUCGAUGGGUCUGCGUCUGAUUAGCUAGUUGGUGAGGUAACGGCUCACCAAGGCGACGAUCAGUAGCCGGUCUGAGAGGAUGAACGGCCACAUUGGGACUGAGACACGGCCCAGACUCCUACGGGAGGCAGCAGUGGGGAAUCUUCCGCAAUGGGCGCAAGCCUGACGGAGCAACGCCGCGUGAGUGAAGAAGGUCUUCGGAUCGUAAAGCUCUGUUGACGGGGACGAACGUACGGAGUGCGAAUAGUGCUCUGUAA